AGAGUUCGAUUCUGGCUCAGGAUGAACGCUAGCUACAGGCUUAACACAUGCAAGUCGAGGGGAAACGACAGUAAAGCUUGCUUUAUUGGGCGUCGACCGGCGCACGGGUGCGUAACGCGUAUCCAACCUGCCCCCAACUCCGGAAUAGUCCCCCGAAAGGGGGGUUAACGCCGGAUGCUGCAAUUUUUCCGCAUGGUGAAAUUGCGAAAUGAAAAAGGUUGGGGCUGGGGAUGCGUCCCAUUAGGUAGUAGGCGGGGUAACGGCCCACCUAGCCGACGAUGGGUAGGGGUUCUGAGAGGAAGGUCCCCCACAUUGGAACUGAGACACGGUCCAA
Molecule: ribosomal RNA, 334 nt
Filed under: uncultured bacterium
Lineage: Bacteria
Description: partial 16S rRNA
Rfam family: Bacterial small subunit ribosomal RNA
Source: RNAcentral